AGUGAACGCUGGCGGUAGGCCUAACACAUGCAAGUCGAACGGCAGCACAGUAAGAGCUUGCUCUUACGGGUGGCGAGUGGCGGACGGGUGAGGAAUACAUCGGAAUCUACUUUUUCGUGGGGGAUAACGUAGGGAAACUUACGCUAAUACCGCAUACGACCUACGGGUGAAAGCAGGGGAUCUUCGGACCUUGCGCGAUUGAAUUAGCCGAUGUCGGAUUAGCUAGUUGGCGGGGUAAAGGCCCACCAAGGCGACGAUCCGUAGCUGGUCUGAGAGGAUGAUCAGCCACACUGGAACUGAGACACGGUCCAGACUCCUACGGGAGGCAGCAGUGGGGAAUAUUGGACAAUGGGCGCAAGCCUGAUCCAGCCAUGCCGCGUGGGUGAAGAAGGCCUUCGGGUUGUAAAGCCCUUUUGUUGGGAAAGAAAAGCAGCAGGUUAAUACCCCGCUGUUCUGACGGUACCCAAAGAAUAAGCACCGGCUAACUUCGUG
RNAcentral lists this ribosomal RNA (492 nucleotides) under uncultured bacterium. RNAcentral describes it as "partial 16S ribosomal RNA". It matches the Rfam family "Bacterial small subunit ribosomal RNA", at positions 29 to 507 of the family's 1533-position model. The record is from RNAcentral.